This 449-nucleotide ribosomal RNA is filed under the name uncultured bacterium. RNAcentral's name for it is "partial 16S ribosomal RNA". It matches the Rfam family "Bacterial small subunit ribosomal RNA", at positions 338 to 795 of the family's 1533-position model. The record is from RNAcentral.
CCUACGGGGGGCUGCAGUAAGGAAUAUUGGUCAAUGGAGGAAACUCUGAACCAGCCAUCCCGCGUGAAGGAUGAAGGGGCUCUGCCUUGUAAACUUCUUUUGUCGGGGGCGAAAAAGCUCGAUUUAUCGAGAACUGACGGUACCAGAAGAAGAAGCACCGGCUAACUCCGUGCCAGCAGCCGCGGUAAUACGGAGGGUGCAAGCGUUCUGGGGAAUCAGGGGGCGUAAAGGGCUCGGUAGGUGAGUGGUACAAGGCUGUGGCUUAACCUUUGAAUUGCCAUUGAUACUGCAGAGCUUGAAUGAGGUUGAGGUUGGCGGAAUGUGACAUGUAGCGGUGAAAUGCUUAGAUAUGUCAUGGAACACCGAUUGCGAAGGCAGCUGACUGGACCUAUAUUGACGCUGAGGCACGAAAGCGUGGGGAGCGAACAGGAUUAGAUACCCCAGUAGUC